This 401-nucleotide ribosomal RNA is filed under the name uncultured bacterium. RNAcentral's name for it is "bacterial SSU rRNA". It matches the Rfam family "Bacterial small subunit ribosomal RNA", at positions 355 to 773 of the family's 1533-position model. The record is from RNAcentral.
UGGGGAAUCUUGCACAAUGGGGGAAACCCUGAUGCAGCGACGCCGCGUGAACGAUGAAGCCCUUCGGGGUGUAAAGUUCUUUCGACAGGAACGAUAAUGGCGGUACCUGGAGAAGAAGCUGCGGCUAACUACGUGCCAGCAGCCGCGGUAAUACGUAGGCAGCGAGCGUUGUUCGGAGUUACUGGGCGUAAAGAGUGCGUAGGCGGCGAGCCAAGUUUGGUGUGAAAUCUCCCGGCUUAACCGGGAGGGUGCGCCGAAAACUGGUUGGCUGGAGUAUGGGAGAGGAAAGCGGAAUUCCUGGUGUAGCGGUGAAAUGCGUAGAUAUCAGGAGGAACACCUGCGGUGUAGACAGCUUUCUGGACCAAAACUGACGCUGAGGCACGAAAGCGUGGGUAGCAAAC